This 109-nucleotide small RNA is filed under the name Enterobacter sp. NFIX58. Its description in RNAcentral is "SraH RNA". It matches the Rfam family "ArcZ RNA". Rfam says of the family: This RNA was discovered in E. coli during a large scale screen. SraH expression is highly abundant in stationary phase, but low levels could be detected in exponentially growing cells as well. Lineage: Bacteria; Pseudomonadati; Pseudomonadota; Gammaproteobacteria; Enterobacterales; Enterobacteriaceae. The record is from RNAcentral.
GUGCGGCCUAAAUUUUUCAGGCAGCGCCCUUUCGAAAAUAACGUUUAAAAACAGGCGCAGCCACGAUUUCCCUGGUGUUGGCGCAGUAUUCGCGCACCCCGGUUAAUCC